AAGACCUUGCACUUUUGGAGCGGCCGAUGUUCUAUUAGCUAGUUGGUGGGGUAAUGGCCUACCAAAGCUUCGAUCAGUAGCUGGUCUGAGAGGACGGCCAGCCACACUGGGACUGAGACACGGCCCAGACUCCUACGGGAGGCAGCAGUGGGGAAUUUUGGACAAUGGGCGCAAGCCUGAUCCAGCCAUGCCGCGUGAGUGAAGAAGGCCUUCGGGUUGUAAAGCUCUUUCAGCCGGGAAGAAAAGGUUGCGACUAAUAAUCGCAAUUCAUGACGGUACCGAAAGAAGAAGCACCGGCUAACUACGUGCCAGCAGCCGCGGUAAUACGUAGGGUGCGAGCGUUAAUCGGAAUUACUGGGCGUAAAGCGUGCGCAGGUGGUUUUGUAAGUCAGAUGUGAAAGCCCCGGGCUCAACCUGGGAACU
This 423-nucleotide ribosomal RNA is filed under the name uncultured bacterium. RNAcentral's name for it is "bacterial SSU rRNA". It matches the Rfam family "Bacterial small subunit ribosomal RNA", at positions 207 to 622 of the family's 1533-position model. The record is from RNAcentral.